AUGGAUGAGCUCGAGGCGGAUUUCAGUAAUCGCGCCUUGCUAGCCACUGUGCAGGGCACAAGACCGGCCAUGUCUGCGGAAGCCAUGGUCCAAUCCCUGGCUUGGCUCUAUGGGGUCGAGAGGCGACAAGUCCGGGUGGAGGUGACACACCCGGCAGAUUUCUUCAUCACAUUCGCCUCCAUUGCGGAUUGUGAGAGGGUGCUCGCCAGCUCCGGGAAGUUUCGCUGUGCUGGAGCUUCCGUCGCUUUUCGGCGCUGGCAUAGAAGUUCCCAGGCGAGCAGCGGGAAACUUUGCUUCUUCUGCAAGAUUGGAUUUGAGGGCAUGCCAGCGAACGCCUGGGAGUGGGGUGCUGUCAGUCAGCUCAUCAACAAUUUGGGUGGCCAGCUGGUGGAAAUCCUCCCCCCUAACGAUCGUUGGGAUAUGGACGUCACCGCCUGGAUGCGCAAUCCAUCAGGCAUCCCCAAGAUGUACGAUUUCGAGGUUCCAGAGCCGGCGGGGCUGCCGAACUCCUUCGACAAGGACUUUCCGCUUUCCUCGCCACCACCAGCGUCGCCGAUAGAGAGGCUCACUCUUGUCCACCCGCUCACUAUCCAUGUCCUGGACGUGGUGGAUCGCUCAAUGUCGUUCAUGGAGUUCCGCCCAAACUAUGAACCAGAAGAGGAUGAAGAUCACACCAGGCGACACGACUUCUCGCGCUUCUGCUUCAGGGGGCGAGUUGAUGGCACUGGGAUGGGCUCGACUCCCUGUUCGGGCGGGCAUCCUUUCGGUGGCCCUGGUGGUCUUGGGAUUGCUGGAGAUUGGGGCGGACGCAGGGUCAAGGGGCUGCUGGCGCCCGCUGGUGGUUUUUCUGCCCCGUUUGUGCAGUCCAGACCAACGGAUGCCCAUGCCAUGCAUGGCGCGCCAGCUCGGCGGGUCGCUCUGGGCACGACGGCCUCAUGCUCUGCUUUGCUUGGUGGCUCCCCCUCUCCUGGCUCGCUGGCAACUACGGUCGUGGGUUCUGCGAACGGUGUGCUCACGCCGGCUUUGCAGGGGCCUCUCGGCGACGCAUCUUUGGCUAUGGUCUUGGCGGCUCACGCGCCCACGGUGGAUGUGACGCAUCAACACGGUGGUGGUUCUUCUUCAGUGGGCGGUGCACAUGGACACUCUAGUUGUGCCUCUACGGCAGUGGGCUCGGCGGCCUGUGUUGCCACGCCAGGCUUGCCAUGGUCGGUGGCCUCUACGGCUGUGGGCUCGGCAGCUUGUGUCGUGACGCCUCCAUCAGGACGAGUCACGCUCCGCCAAAUGACGUCGCCGCGCCGGCUUUCCUUCGCAUCGGAGGCGUGUACACAGUGCGUGGGGGUAGACGGCAAUCUAGUGUGCGCGCCCUCUCAUGGCACGCCUCCACGCCUGCACCUGGCAUGCCCAGCACUGUGCGGAACACCGAAAGUAGUGCCUUCCUCAGCUGCUGGUGCUAUGGAGACGCUGAAAGCUGUGCCGGAUGAUGAGAACCUACAUCUCAAGGCUCUGAAGUUGCCGAGCCAGUGUGGGCAGUCAAGGUCCUCUAGCUCGAGCCCGGUGCGCACGCCUUUUGCAACCCCAUUGAGCCCGAGCAAGCUGCUUCCACCCCUGGCACCCAAGGCAAAUCUGGACACGGUGCUUGGUCCAAAGACGGCUGCUGACACGCUGCUUGAGGGGAUCGGUGCCACCCCCAUGCCAUCUAUCAUGGGGCCGAGGCCAGCUGCAUCGGCUCCGGUGAGACGCAAGAAGACUCUACCAUCGGAUUUUACCCCUCGCCGGAGUGCACGUCUAAAUAAAAAUUGUGAUGGCGCGAACAAGGGGCCAUACCACCGCGCUCAAACUGUGCUGCUUCGUCGCAUGGGUCUAAUGGAGGCUGAAGAACAGGUGACGCAGAAAGCAAUGGACGAAUACUUGAAGCUCUUCGACAAGCCGCUGGCUCCGCACCACAUCAAGGCGAUUACUGCUCUCUUCGCCCCAGAUGAAGUGGACUUUGAUGAACCUUCUCAUGAGGGCUUCAGUGCUUUCUUCCUCCCUGCGGCUGUGGAGCCUUGUGGUGUGUAG
RNAcentral lists this ribosomal RNA (2058 nucleotides) under Triticum aestivum (bread wheat). RNAcentral describes it as "partial small subunit ribosomal RNA". The record is from RNAcentral. Lineage: Eukaryota; Viridiplantae; Streptophyta; Magnoliopsida; Poales; Poaceae.